GGGUUAUAGGCUAGUUUAUAUAAUAUAACAACAGGGAAUCGGAUGUUGUUAUAAAAUUAUUUCACAUUUUUUACUUUUUUUUGUCAUAUCAUAUUUUGAACUUAUAAAUACAUAGAAAACUAAAAUUACAUAGUUUGCAAAUACCCCUUUUUUGGAAGAAAAACAAUUUCAAUACUUGACAAAAAAGCCUAUCCAUUUUUAACUUGCAGAGAGUUCAAGUAACUCAGGACAAUUAAGUAUUCAACAAUAGUUCUGCUAGGUAAAAAGAUUACAAGUGCCAGAGAUGCUAAAUCAGAAUGUGUGACUCUAAAGGCAACAAGCAGUCGAAACAGAGGCCGAUAUUGUCUGUCACUCACUGAUAAUCAACAAUUCAACAUAGGGCUGUAAAAUGAUCCGGGUGAUCCCGAGUACCUCUAUGCUCGAGUACCGGAUCAUAUAACUUUCAGUUUGUCCAGAUUUGGGUUCGGGAUCGUUUUAUUCGGAUAUAAACCGAUCCUGGGUAUUUGAGAUUCGGAUCUGAACCGAAUAUGAUCCAGUAUCGUAUUUUCCAUUUUUUAACGGGUAGUUUAUGAUCCAUCGAAUAUGAGCCGGAUAUGAUCCACUAACAUUAAAUAUCUUAUUAUUUCUAUUAUUCAAAUAAUUAUCAUUUAGUCUAAGUAAAAUUAAUAUUAUAAAAUAUAAUAAUUUUAAUUAAAACCUAUAGUUAUAUGUUGAUAUAUAUCAUUUAUUAAAUAUAUAUGAAGAUAAUAAGCAUGAUCAGAUUAAAUAAAUCACAUUUUAUGAAGACAUAAACUUAAAUAAGAUAUUAAAAUUUUAUAAAAUGAUGACUAUUUACUUACAAAUGGAUUUAAAUUAUAAUAUGUAUAUGAGUUUGAAUUAAAUAUGAACCGUGGAUCAUAUUCGCGUAUUCGGGUAGGAUCAUAUUAUGAAAAAUUAUAUGAGACCGAAUCUGAGCGGGUACAGGUGUGCUCAGAUCCGGGAUCAUAUAUUAUACGGGCUUAAUAUUUUCGCCAGAUUUGGAUCGUUUUCAAAACGGAUAUGAGACAUGUAUCAUAUUUUCGAGCCGGAUAUGAGCCGAGACACCGGAUAGUCCGUAUCAAUUUACAGCCCUAAUUCAACAUUCAGAGGGGUUGACAAGUAUUCCAGUCAUGCAAGACCGUAGACACUGGCAGCUACAGAACAUCACAUAUGAUAUAGUGGUC
Molecule: long non-coding RNA, 1202 nt
Filed under: Daucus carota (carrot)
Lineage: Eukaryota; Viridiplantae; Streptophyta; Magnoliopsida; Apiales; Apiaceae
Description: long non-coding RNA (DCAR_LNC004353)
Source: RNAcentral